Molecule: ribosomal RNA, 468 nt
Filed under: uncultured bacterium
Lineage: Bacteria
Description: partial 16S ribosomal RNA
Rfam family: Bacterial small subunit ribosomal RNA
Source: RNAcentral
GACGAACGCUGGCGGCGUGCUUAACACAUGCAAGUCGAACGGAAAGGCCCUGCUUUUGUGGGGUGCUCGAGUGGCGAACGGGUGAGUAACACGUGAGUAACCUGCCCUUGACUUUGUGAUAACUUCAGGAAACUGGGGCUAAUACCGGAUAGGAGCUCCUGCUGCAUGGUGUGGGUUGGAAAGUUUCGGCGGUUGGGGGUGGACUCGCGGCUUAUCAGCUUGUUGGUGGGGUUGUGGCUUACCAAGGUUUUGAAGGCUAGCCGGCCUGAGAGGGUGACCGGCCACAUUGGGACUGAGAUACGGCCCAGACUCCUACGGGAGGCAGCAGGGGGGAAUCUUGCACAAUGGGCGGAAGCCUGAUGCAGCAACGCCGCGUGCGGGAUGACGGCCUUCGGGUUGUAAACCGCUUUCGACUGUGACGAAGCGUGAGUGACGGUAAUGGGUAAAGAAGCACCGGCUAACUACGUG